This 468-nucleotide ribosomal RNA is filed under the name Triticum aestivum (bread wheat). RNAcentral describes it as "partial small subunit ribosomal RNA". The record is from RNAcentral. Lineage: Eukaryota; Viridiplantae; Streptophyta; Magnoliopsida; Poales; Poaceae.
AUGGAUAUUUAUAAUUGCAGCAAGCUUGAGUCCACAUCCCGCAGGAAGCUGCAGCAAGGACAGUCAGUAUCAUCGAUUCAUCAAGGGUCAUCCAGUAUAGAAGCAUUAUCAUUAUACCUCUGUGAUGGCUUAACAGGGGUCCUCUAUUUUCCCCCAUCCCUCAAGAGAAUAAGCAUUUGUCACUGUGGUGGGCUGACAUCUCUGGAAUCCUGCUCUCCCGUUGUCCAAUCCUUGGAGUACCUCCAGCUUGUGUACUGCAAUUCCCUGUCAUCGCUGCCAGAUGUUCCGCAAGCAUACUCAUAUCUCCAACGUCUUACCAUUAAAGACUGCCAUGGUAUAAAAACGCUCCCUGCAAGUCUGCAGCAACGGCUGGGCAGCCUCCAGGUGGAAAGGAUAGAUGCACAUUAUUAUGGAAAUAAGCCUAUGCUGCUGAAGCCGAAGACAUGGAAAUAUGUCUGCAAAGGUUGA